UGUUACAAUGGGGGGUACAGAGGGCCGCUACCACGCGAGUGGAUGCCAAUCCCUAAAACCCCUCUCAGUUCGGACUGGAGUCUGCAACCCGACUCCACGAAGCUGGAUUCGCUAGUAAUCGCGCAUCAGCCACGGCGCGGUGAAUACGUCCCCGGGCCUUGUACACACCGCCCGUCAAGCCAUGGGAGCCGGGGGUACCUGAAGUGCGUAACCGCGAGGAUCGCCCUAGGGUAAAACUGGUGACUGGGGCUAAGUCGUAACAAGGUAAC
This 269-nucleotide ribosomal RNA is filed under the name uncultured bacterium. Its description in RNAcentral is "partial 16S ribosomal RNA". It matches the Rfam family "Bacterial small subunit ribosomal RNA", at positions 1223 to 1500 of the family's 1533-position model. The record is from RNAcentral.